This 73-nucleotide transfer RNA is filed under the name Bacteroides fragilis. Its description in RNAcentral is "tRNA-Phe". It matches the Rfam family "tRNA". Rfam says of the family: Transfer RNA (tRNA) molecules are approximately 80 nucleotides in length. Their secondary structure includes four short double-helical elements and three loops (D, anti-codon, and T loops). The record is from RNAcentral. Lineage: Bacteria; Pseudomonadati; Bacteroidota; Bacteroidia; Bacteroidales; Bacteroidaceae. RNAcentral also lists the same sequence under 1 other name.
GGUGCCAUAGCUCAGUUGGUAGAGCAAAGGACUGAAAAUCCUUGUGUCCCCGGUUCGAUUCCCGGUGGCACCA